Molecule: ribosomal RNA, 465 nt
Filed under: uncultured bacterium
Lineage: Bacteria
Description: bacterial SSU rRNA
Rfam family: Bacterial small subunit ribosomal RNA
Source: RNAcentral
CCUACGGGUGGCUGCAGUGGGGAAUUUUGGACAAUGGGGGCAACCCUGAUCCAGCCAUGCCGCGUGCGGGAAGAAGGCCUUCGGGUUGUAAACCGCUUUUAGCCGGGAAGAAAAGGCCAGGCCUAAUACGUCUGGUUCUUGACGGUACCGGCGGAAUAAGCACCGGCUAACUACGUGCCAGCAGCCGCGGUAAUACGUAGGGUGCGAGCGUUAAUCGGAAUUACUGGGCGUAAAGCGUGCGCAGGCGGUUCGUUAAGUCUGAUGUGAAAGCCCCGGGCUCAACCUGGGAAUGGCAUUGGAAACUGGCGGGCUGGAGUGUGGCAGAGGGGGGUGGAAUUCCGCGUGUAGCAGUGAAAUGCGUAGAGAUGCGGAGGAACACCGAUGGCGAAGGCAGCCCCCUGGGCUGACACUGACGCUCAGGCACGAAAGCGUGGGGAGCAAACAGGAUUAGAUACCCGAGUAGUC